Molecule: ribosomal RNA, 253 nt
Filed under: uncultured bacterium
Lineage: Bacteria
Description: partial 16S ribosomal RNA
Rfam family: Bacterial small subunit ribosomal RNA
Source: RNAcentral
UACAGAGGGGGCAAGCGUUGUUCGGAAUUACUGGGCGGAAAGGGCGCGUAGGUGGCCUUCUAAGUUGAACGUGAAAUCCCUGGGCUCAACCCAGGAACUGCGUCCAAGACUGGGAGGCUUGAAUCCGGGAGAGGGAUGCGGAAUUCCAGGUGUAGCGGUGAAAUGCGUAGAUAUCUGGAGGAACACCGGUGGCGAAGGCGGCAUCCUGGACCGGGAUUGACACUGAGGCGCGAAAGCCAGGGGAGCAAACGGG